CUGGCCCUGAUCUGACACACAUGCUGCCUUGCACCUGAGGCUCCUUCUUGGCUUACCAUGAUCCAGGGAGACUCUGGACACAGGAUCCACGUGGGCUCCUUAGUGGGAUGACCUUCCAACACUUAUGCCAAGAGGGCUCCCACCCUCACACACCCUUGUGCCAGCUGCUGGGAUUGCAGUGUGACUCAGAGCUGCUGGAGAAGCUGCAGAGAAACAGAAAAUGUCUCAGGCACGGGAAAUUCAACAUAUGGCUGUGUUAGGAGAGUGUGGUCACAACUGAGCAGUGAGUGCUGGAAUGAGGAACCCUCAGCACUGGGAUUUGGUCUGAAGAGCAUCAUCACAUAUGUCUGUUUGCAUUUUUAUGAAUAAAUCAAAAGAGAGAUGACA
RNAcentral lists this long non-coding RNA (387 nucleotides) under Junco hyemalis (dark-eyed junco). RNAcentral's name for it is "lncRNA (ENSJHYG00000012458.1)". The record is from RNAcentral. Lineage: Eukaryota; Metazoa; Chordata; Aves; Passeriformes; Passerellidae.